GAUGUUAGCGGCGGACGGGUGAGUAACACGUGGAUAACCUACCUAUAAGACUGGGAUAACUUCGGGAAACCGGAGCUAAUACCGGAUAAUAUUUUGAACCGCAUGGUUCAAAAGUGAAAGACGGUCUUGCUGUCACUUAUAGAUGGAUCCGCGCUGCAUUAGCUAGUUGGUAAGGUAACGGCUUACCAAGGCAACGAUGCAUAGCCGACCUGAGAGGGUGAUCGGCCACACUGGAACUGAGACACGGUCCAGACUCCUACGGGAGGCAGCAGUAGGGAAUCUUCCGCAAUGGGCGAAAGCCUGACGGAGCAACGCCGCGUGAGUGAUGAAGGUCUUCGGAUCGUAAAACUCUGUUAUUAGGGAAGAACAUAUGUGUAAGUAACUGUGCACAUCUUGACGGUACCUAAUCAGAAAGCCACGGCUAACUACGUGCCAGCAGCCGCGGUAAUACGUAGGUGGCAAGCGUUAUCCGGAAUUAUUGGGCGUAAAGCGCGCGUAGGCGGUUUUUUAAGUCUGAUGUGAAAGCCCACGGCUCAACCGUGGAGGGUCAUUGGAAACUGGAAAACUUGAGUGCAGAAGAGGAAAGUGGAAUUCCAUGUGUAGCGGUGAAAUGCGCAGAGAUAUGGAGGAACACCAGUGGCGAAGGCGACUUUCUGGUCUGUAACUGACGCUGAUGUGCGAAAGCGUGGGGAUCAAACAGGAUUAGAUACCCUGGUAGUCCACGCCGUAAACGAUGAGUGCUAAGUGUUAGGGGGUUUCCGCCCCUUAGUGCUGCAGCUAACGCAUUAAGCACUCCGCCUGGGGAGUACGACCGCAAGGUUGAAACUCAAAGGAAUUGACGGGGACCCGCACAAGCGGUGGAGCAUGUGGUUUAAUUCGAAGCAACGCGAAGAACCUUACCAAAUCUUGACAUCCUUUGACAACUCUAGAGAUAGAGCCUUCCCCUUCGGGGGACAAAGUGACAGGUGGUGCAUGGUUGUCGUCAGCUCGUGUCGUGAGAUGUUGGGUUAAGUCCCGCAACGAGCGCAACCCUUAAGCUUAGUUGCCAUCAUUAAGUUGGGCACUCUAAGUUGACUGCCGGUGACAAACCGGAGGAAGGUGGGGAUGACGUCAAAUCAUCAUGCCCCUUAUGAUUUGGGCUACACACGUGCUACAAUGGACAAUACAAAGGGCAGCGAAACCGCGAGGUCAAGCAAAUCCCAUAAAGUUGUUCUCAGUUCGGAUUGUAGUCUGCAACUCGACUACAUGAAGCUGGAAUCGCUAGUAAUCGUAGAUCAGCAUGCUACGGUGAAUACGUUCCCGGGUCU
RNAcentral lists this ribosomal RNA (1307 nucleotides) under uncultured bacterium. RNAcentral describes it as "bacterial SSU rRNA". It matches the Rfam family "Bacterial small subunit ribosomal RNA", at positions 88 to 1381 of the family's 1533-position model. The record is from RNAcentral.